UAGAAUACUAGAGGUUUCUGGGGGACUUU
This 29-nucleotide non-coding RNA is filed under the name Rattus norvegicus (Norway rat). The record is from RNAcentral. Lineage: Eukaryota; Metazoa; Chordata; Mammalia; Rodentia; Muridae.